Long non-coding RNA from Leopardus geoffroyi (Geoffroy's cat), 349 nucleotides. RefSeq lists it as uncharacterized. Lineage: Eukaryota; Metazoa; Chordata; Mammalia; Carnivora; Felidae. The record is from RefSeq and is a predicted model, not a curated record. The transcript has 2 exons.
AAGAGGCCUAAAGGGGUGUGUGUGUGUGUGUGUGUUAUGUGUGUGUGUGUAUGUGUGUGUGUGCACGCACACGCAUGGCCAGGAUUGGUGUGUAAUGGGCGCUCUGGGCAUGUUGCUGCUUGUAUGGCUUCUUUGGCCUCUGACCCUGCUGCCCAUCCUUUUUCUCCCAACACAAACGAGCUGCCUCUCCUCCUCCCUGCCUGGGGAGCCCAGGGGCCAGGGAGGGGAGAGGUGGAGCCAGAGUGCUAACCCUGUGACAUUGUAUCUCAGAGACCUAUCCAAGCCAGCUGGGCUGAGCUCAGACAGAGGGAGAAACACUGGAAGUCAAUAAAGCUGUUUUGAGAGCUCA